ACCGCAGACCGCCUUAUCGCUGUUCAGUAAUGAAGAGAGGAAAGUCCGGACACCAAAGAGUAGCAUAUUGGGUAACGCCCAACCGUUGAAAGGCGAGGACAAGUGCAACAGAAAGUAUGUACAGGUUAAGCUGUAGUGAAACCAGGUAAACUCUAUGCGGUGAAAUUUCAAGUAUAUCGACAUUUAAGGGUUACUCGUCCGUUGUCGAAGGGUAGAAAGAUGGAUUCCGAGAGUAAUUUCGGAACUAGAUAAAUGAUAAGGCAUUUUCGUAAGAAAGUGACAGAAUCCGGCUUAUAGGUCUGCUUUUUUU
This 310-nucleotide RNase P RNA is filed under the name Flavobacteriales bacterium. RNAcentral describes it as "RNase P RNA component class A". It matches the Rfam family "Bacterial RNase P class A". From Rfam's summary of the family: Ribonuclease P (RNase P) is a ubiquitous endoribonuclease, found in archaea, bacteria and eukarya as well as chloroplasts and mitochondria. Its best characterised activity is the generation of mature 5'-ends of tRNAs by cleaving the 5'-leader elements of precursor-tRNAs. Cellular RNase Ps are ribonucleoproteins. The record is from RNAcentral. Lineage: Bacteria; Pseudomonadati; Bacteroidota; Flavobacteriia; Flavobacteriales.